GUGGUUGACGCCUUUUAUAAAACAAAUUAUUAAUGUUCCCCCCUACACUCUGGCAUGCAGUCAGGAUGCCCUGACCUACUCCCCAAGACCCCCACACUCAAUGAUGUCACCAGUAAUUCUGGUGAAACAACCCUCCAACUCCUCGUUGGGAAGCUCAGGGCUCACUACCACGGCUCCUCCCAUCAGGUCAGUGGGAAAGGAGGAGCACAAGGCAGCCAGCACAGAGCAGGACGCUAGCACCCCCAAGAGGUGUUGAAGCACUGACAUCAGUGUCAUCAGUUGACGAGUGUUUCUGUGGAGAUAAUGUCAUCUCACUUAGUGGCAUACUUCCUCAGACAUGCAGCUGUUAUAUGCUGCCCACGGUAGUGUUGGACCAGGCAUCCAGUAGGGCGCUCCACCGCCCUCUCCGCGUGGCUCAAACCCAGGCAGUGCAUACACGAGGUAUGCGGCUCUCCAGGGGGGUGCCACCAUCACACCUGUCAAAAAGGGAAGCCAUAAGCUCAGCCAAGCCAGCAAGGCCACGGAGCUGGGUUCCGACGCCCUGGGAGAGUUCAAACCAUACGGACGUCCACCGAGAAAAUGAAAGACAAUGUGUGUCGCGGCCAUGGGGUCUAUAUAUAGGGGCGGACACCAGCCGUGACAUAGAUGUACACGGGAGUAAAUCUGUAAAUUCUCACCUUGGAUGUAUCCCUCCGCCGCGGAGUGAUGCCAAUAUAGGGAAACAUUACAACAUUUGCCUAGAAGAAGCAAUCUCUUUUAUAGAAGUGUGUGCUGUCUCUAAGACCCAUGACAUCAUUCACACACAGUCAAUUCAAGGCUCGAGCAAAGAUGAUAUUGACUGGGAGAGAAGUGAGGUGGGGGAGACUAAGUGACUAAAUUUUUGGUGACAAUCAGCUUUGUAAUCAGCAAUAUUUUUGCGUUAUGGUUUGUAAGUGUAACAGUGUAAUUACAUUUUAAAUUCCUGCAUAAAAUGGGUAUUAUGCCAACUCCUGGUAGAUUAGUGUGUUUACAUUGUCUAAUACACUCAGUGAUAAAAUUAUGGGAUUCUGGGUAAUCCACAGCAGAUUUAUGCAGAAUUGCUAUGGUUGAGUUGAAAAUUGAAUGGUCCCGGGAGAGAAAUUUGUAAAAUCCACCUUUUACAUUGUACAUUAGAAAUGUAUGUUAUUAGUAACUACUGUUGUUGUUUUGGCUUCAAAUAAACCACUCUGUUAUUUGCCGAAUCUCAGUUUUCCUUGUGGGUUUUAUGCUAGCUAAAAUUCCCUCUUUGAAAUUGGUAGCUAACUCGAAAAUGCAUCUUCUUUAGGAGUGCUAUUUAUAUCCCAUCGACUAAUGAUCAUUCAUCCAUACUGUGUGUCCCAUCAUUGCAGGUCAUUUAUGACAAAUGUAUAUGUUUUAUAAACUCAUAAGCACCAGCCAGCGUAUUAGCCUGGUUUUGUUAGUUGAGGCAAAUAUGUAUCACAUUCUAGGUGUAUUAUAUUUCUUUGCCACAAGUGUGACAUUGAGUAAUUUCAAGUUAUUUUUUUAUAUAUUUUGAAUAGUAAAAUGGAUGAUGCUGUAAAUAUGAGAUUACACAUGGAAACAAUGUAUUUAUUUUUAUUAUAGGAAUUAUUAGAAAUGGUUAAAUCCACUAUAUGAUCACGAUGACCUUGAUAGACAUUUUGAUCGUUUUUUUGUUAGUAUAUUAUACAGCAGAUUUAUGGAGAAUUGCUGGGGGAGUGCUAUUAUUAUCCUGUCGACUAAUGAUCGUUCAUCCAUACUGUGUGUGUCCCAUCAUUACAGCUUUGGAAAUAAAUAUACUAUCCAUCCA
Molecule: non-coding RNA, 1807 nt
Organism: Salmo salar (Atlantic salmon)
Lineage: Eukaryota; Metazoa; Chordata; Actinopteri; Salmoniformes; Salmonidae
Source: RefSeq, a predicted model, not a curated record